Molecule: unclassified non-coding RNA, 523 nt
Filed under: Athalia rosae (coleseed sawfly)
Lineage: Eukaryota; Metazoa; Arthropoda; Insecta; Hymenoptera; Athaliidae
Description: misc RNA ENSAEAG00005012644.1
Source: RNAcentral
AGUUAAACCGACUGCUGUUGUCAACUGAUUCAUAACGACACAUAAUGAUUGAACAACAAAUAUCAAUCACUGUCUCAACUUUCACGUGAUCAAAACAAAGAUAUCUUCAAACAAGAAGCAAAUUCGGUACGCAGAGUUUUCCAAAUCUGACAUGGAAAGGCGAGCAAGCAAAGGAUCCAUCUGGUUGUUCAACUACUACAACAUCAAUGGCUCCGGUCCAAAUAAGGCUUCUAAACAGGGACCGAAGGUCCUCUGCAAAGUGUGGUUUGCAACAGGGCUUUGAAGAUGAGCAUUUACAGCCUCUAGGAGAGGGCUGAAGAAGUGAUGUUCCUUCAAAGUAGUAACGGGAGGUCCAACGCUACCGUCACCUCUCUUAAAGUCCAGUUUUUCGAGUACCACUUCACACUUCAAUAGCGUAUCGAGGGGCAUUCUUUUACUCGGAUUUGAUAAUAUCUCCAAGAGUUUUUUCAUUUUACUUAAUUUGUCGACGUCUGGAAUAAAAGAUUGUAUUUAAACAAUUAUA